UAAAUGGCAACAAUAUCAACCAGACUACAUUCGCUGCAACAGCAGCGAGAAGCAAGGAAUUUUCUUGUACGGAUCUAAAUUAAGACUGGAAAAAGCGCUAUAUCAUUGCUGCACAUCUGCACAGUCUCAACCAGGGUUUAGCUUCUGAAAGACAUGUGUCUAGCUGAGGCAGCUAAAUUAAGACUGGAAAAAGCGCUAUAUCAUUGCUGCACAUCUGCACAGUCUCAACCAGCCUCUCCAUUUCAGGCUCUCUUUUUGCGUACAGUUUUAAGUCAUCCACGCUCAUAGUGUGCGUUGACUUUGCGUAGGACUACAGAAAGUGGGGACAAGGCUUUAACAAAUCUAAGUGCUGCUUGUUGCAGAAAAGACGUGUCUUCCAACAAGGCAUUCUAUUCUUAAUCACUACACACACGUUCUCAGCUAUUCCACACAUGUCGAAUGUUUCCAGAAUCCACGAAUGUGGCAACAUGUCAAAAUUGAAAAAUUUACAGUAAGCAAACAGACAUAAACAGACAUAUGUACAUGGACCCCCAUCUCUCUCACUCUCUCUCACAUAUAUACACACAAAGAAAGUGAUAAACAGAAAAUGAAAUUUAAUACAAGAUUAAAGGAUCCACAUAGGAAACUACUGGUCUAGAGCACAAUUUUCCAUGACCCCUGAAAAUUUAUUGUGAACCUCCAAUUUGCUGCAUUUCAUUUGUAUGGACCCCAGUUGAGAACCCCUCAUGUAAACUUUACUGACCAAUUUUUACUCCCAGCUGCAUAACCUAUACUGACCAAAUUUUAUUCCCAAAGAUGAUGCAAUGGUACAAAAUGAGAGAAAAGAAAUAAAUAAAAAAUUAUUCAUUUUGACUCAGUUAUCAAUUUUGCUCCACUUGACAAGACAACACAUGCUCACAGAAAUUACCAACUACUGUGUUGUGAUUUUUUGAGUCAAAACAAAAGAAUGCCUGCAAUAA
Molecule: long non-coding RNA, 959 nt
Organism: Octopus bimaculoides (California two-spot octopus)
Lineage: Eukaryota; Metazoa; Mollusca; Cephalopoda; Octopoda; Octopodidae
Source: RefSeq, a predicted model, not a curated record